AUUGAACGCUGGCGGCAGGCCUAACACAUGCAAGUCGAACGAGUGGCGGACGGGUGAGUAAUGUCUGGGAAACUGCCCGAUGGGGGGGGAUAACUACUGGAAACGGUAGCUAAUAUCGCAUACCAUCAGAUGUGCCAAGAUGGGAUGAGCUAGUAGUUGGGGUAAUGGCUCACCUAGGCGACGAUCCCUAGCUGGUCUGAGAGGAUGACCAGCCACACUGGAACUGAGACACGGUCCAGACUCCUACGGGAGGCAGCAGUGUGGAAUAUUGCACAAUGGGCGCAAGCCUGAUGCAGCCAUGCCGCGUGUAUGAAGGAGGCCUUCGGGUUGUAAAGUACUUUCAUCGGGGAGGCGUUACCCGCAGAAGAAGCACCUGCUAACUCCGUGCCAGCAGCCGCGGUAAUAC
This 406-nucleotide ribosomal RNA is filed under the name uncultured bacterium. RNAcentral describes it as "partial 16S ribosomal RNA". It matches the Rfam family "Bacterial small subunit ribosomal RNA", at positions 30 to 526 of the family's 1533-position model. The record is from RNAcentral.